AAAGCAACUUUUUUCUCUCUUUUUUUCUCUGUGUGUGUGUGUCUGUGUGUGUGUGUGUGUGUAGGGCCUGUUCAUCUUCCUGAUAUAUGGGGUGUACAACACAGAGAACUGUGCCAGCUCCAGACCCUCCAGCUCAUUAACCAGCUCCCGGCCCGCCAGCUCCCCCACGCCUUCCCCCCAGGGCCCCCAAGGUCCCAGCCUGGACGAAGGGGGGGACAAGACCUGCUCCGGCCAGCCCAGCCCACUCCCCAACCCCACCUACCCCCACACCCUAGGCCUUGUGGAGGAGAACGCCAACAGAGGUCAGCUGUCCAUUCCUUGUGUCCCAAAGAGGCUAAAGGAUUCCCACAGUCAUGCUACAGGUGCCUUGAUCCCCAGAAUGGUAAUAACACACAUACUGUACACAUACACACAUACACAUUCAGUGCAUUCGGAAAGUAUU
Molecule: long non-coding RNA, 442 nt
Filed under: Salmo trutta (river trout)
Lineage: Eukaryota; Metazoa; Chordata; Actinopteri; Salmoniformes; Salmonidae
Description: lncRNA (ENSSTUG00000019136.1)
Source: RNAcentral